This 61-nucleotide transfer RNA is filed under the name Ictidomys tridecemlineatus (thirteen-lined ground squirrel). RNAcentral describes it as "Spermophilus tridecemlineatus (thirteen-lined ground squirrel) tRNA". It matches the Rfam family "tRNA", at positions 6 to 65 of the family's 71-position model. From Rfam's summary of the family: Transfer RNA (tRNA) molecules are approximately 80 nucleotides in length. Lineage: Eukaryota; Metazoa; Chordata; Mammalia; Rodentia; Sciuridae. The record is from Rfam by way of RNAcentral.
UGUGACUUAGUGGUAGAGUGCCUGCCUAGUAUGCAUGAGGCACUGGGUUCGAUCCCCAGCA